AGGAUAAACGCUGGCGGCGUGCCUAACACAUGCAAGUCGAACGUCUCUUCUUUCGGGAAGAGGAGUGGCGGACGGGUGAGGAACACGUGGGAACCUGCCCUCCAGUGAGGAAUACCGGCGAGAAAUCGCCGACAAGACCGCAUAGCCCUCUCUGGUGAGAGCCAGAGAAGGAAAGCUUCGCAAGAGGCGCUGGAGGAGGGGCCUGCGUCCGAUUAGCUAGUUGGUGGGGUAAAGGCCUACCAAGGCGACGAUCCAUAGCUGGUCUGAGAGGAUGAUCAGCCACACUGGGACUGAGACACGGCCCAGACUCCUACGGGAGGCAGCAGUGGGGAAUAUUGGACAAUGGGCGAAAGCCUGAUCCAGCAAUGCCGCGUGAGUGAAGAAGGCCUUAGGGUUGUAAAGCUCUUUUACCCGGGAAGAUAAUGACUGUACCGGGAGAAUAAGCCCCGGCUAACUCCGCGCCAGCAGCCGCGGU
This 475-nucleotide ribosomal RNA is filed under the name uncultured bacterium. Its description in RNAcentral is "SSU rRNA". It matches the Rfam family "Bacterial small subunit ribosomal RNA", at positions 26 to 521 of the family's 1533-position model. The record is from RNAcentral.